UUUCUACUCCCUCCAUCCCAAAAUUCUUGUCUUAAAUUUGUCUAAAUACGGAUGUAUCUAGUUACAUUUUAGUGUUAGAUAGAUCUGUAUCUAAACAAAUGUAAGACAAGAAUUUUGCAACGGAGGGAAUACUAC
This is a non-coding RNA of Triticum aestivum (bread wheat), 135 nucleotides long. The record is from Rfam. NCBI's taxonomy places the organism in Eukaryota, Viridiplantae, Streptophyta, Magnoliopsida, Poales, Poaceae.